Molecule: ribosomal RNA, 468 nt
Filed under: uncultured bacterium
Lineage: Bacteria
Description: partial 16S ribosomal RNA
Rfam family: Bacterial small subunit ribosomal RNA
Source: RNAcentral
GACGAACGCUGGCGGCGUGCUUAACACAUGCCAGUCGAACGGAAAGGCCCUGCUUUUGUGGGGUGCUCGAGUGGCGAACGGGUGAGUAACACGUGAGUAACCUGCCCUUGACUUUGGGAUAACUUCAGGAAACUGGGGCUAAUACCGGAUAGGAGCUCCUGCUGCAUGGUGGGGGUUGGAAAGUUUCGGCGGUUGGGGAUGGACUCGCGGCUUAUCAGCUUGUUGGUGGGGUAGUGGCUUACCAGGGCUUUGACGGGUAGCCGGCCUGAGAGGGUGACCGGCCACAUUGGGACUGAGAUACGGCCCAGACUCCUACGGGAGGCAGCAGUGGGGAAUAUUGCACAAUGGGCGGAAGCCUGAUGCAGCAACGCCGCGUGCGGGAUGACGGCCUUCGGGUUGUAAACCGCUUUCACCUGUGACGAAGCGUGAGUGACGGUAAUGGGUAAAGAAGCACCGGCUAACUACGUG